This is a long non-coding RNA of Triticum dicoccoides, 2832 nucleotides long. RefSeq lists it as uncharacterized. NCBI's taxonomy places the organism in Eukaryota, Viridiplantae, Streptophyta, Magnoliopsida, Poales, Poaceae. The transcript has 2 exons. The record is from RefSeq and is a predicted model, not a curated record.
GCUCGUCCAUCCCCAUGCCCCGAUACCUUUUUUUCGCCCAAGCAAAUUGACGGUCACCGCCGCCGCACCUCUCGCCGCUGGCCACUGCCGUUGACGCCAACCUCCCCCAAGUCUCUGAUGUCUCCACCGAUAGCGCCGCUUCCGACCAAUCCUACGAGGCCAGAGCGCCACCUCCGGGCUUCUCCCAUCCCUGAUCUGGAGAACCAACCUCUUCUCCUCCCUCCACCCCGAUCUGGCAGCAACACCGGGAGAUCGGCGCGGCGCGGCGCUGGCGAGGGGAGGCCCUGCAGAUGAGACGAUGGUGGAGGUAAGUAAAGUCGAUGGAGCUUGGGCGCGGGGUGGCCAAGGAUGCCGUCGCUUGUGCUCCAAUCCACUUGCCAUCUGUAGCUCGUACUAGAAUUGGUUCCGUGCGCCAAAAAAUCCCGUUGCAAAAAGGAGAUCCGCAUGCGAUGCUGGACAUGUUGUGCUACUCCAUUUGAUCCAAGCUACUUCAGCCGUGAUUGAUUUUGGUGGCGGACUGGGAGGAGACAAACAAGGAUGGCAAAAACAUUAAGAUGAAAUAGGAAAAACAAAGUUGUUAGGAAAAGAGAAGCGCAACAAACAAAAACAUUGAUCUUGGACCAGCUGAGUGAUCAAGGUAGUGUGAUUUACAGUUGAUAAUUCUUUUACCCAAAGCACCGACAUGAUCGAGACACUGGUUGUCCUGGUUGCCAUAUAACAUGUGCAUUAUAGUUAGUCCAGUUGGGCUACACGGCUGUUUGAGGAAAACCAUAAGCAAUUGAGUUCUUUAUCAGUAGUCAUGCAGAAUUAGUGUGAAAUAUACAGUUUAUUUUUCAAGAUUAUUUUGCAGUUGUACCAUCAAUUAUUUGUUAAUGUGCUUUUUCCAGUGGAAACAGUCGUUCGAAACGAGCAGUAUACGAUUGCUGCAACCCAAUUAUCUUAGAUUCUACCUUUGUCUAAUGUUCUUAACCUUUAUAUGCUUCUUAGAUACUACCUUUGUUUGAUGUUCCUAACCUUUAUAUGCUUCAGUACAGAGAAAUCUUUGGAACUUGACAAGCCAAGGUAUGAUAAGAGCAGAUUAUUACUUCGUUCUCAUCCAGCAUCCUCUUUACAUAUCAAUAUUCGAGCGGUAGUUAUUCCAUCAUGUUACAUUACUAUUGCAUUCAUAUUUUUAUGACUAGCCAGCCCUUUCUAUAGUUUUCUCAAAAAAAAUAUUCAUGCGUUUUUAUAGUAGUAAAUUUUUUUGGGCGAUGCAAUGUAAGUUAUGUUAUUUCUAUGCCUAAGUGCUAUUACCAGCAAUUGAUUUUUCUGGCAAGGGAAUGUUGAGAUGAUAGCUUGAGCCUCUGUGCCACAUUUUGAAAACUCUAGACUUAUCUUUUACUAAUUUUAAAAUUGGUAAACUACACAUCGACCCCUAGAUACCUAUCAAACUGUAUCUGUUGAUUCAUUUAGCUGUAUUAUUGUUUGGUUCGUGGAAACUGUCAUUUUCUCCAUCCGUAGACUUCGUAAUUGGGCCUUUGUUAAAAGACGGCGUAAGGGCGAGUUGUGGGGAUAUUCACCGCAAUAUCUGCAAGCAGGAAACUACUUUGCUCACCUACCCUUGAACUGGAACUACUAAUUAGAAAAUAUGCAUUUCAUGUGUCAUUUUGCCAUUGAGCUAAAUUAUGUUAUUUUCAUUCGCCUCCCCUCUUCGAGCCGUCGCUGUAUUGGGCCUCACAUGGCUUCAAGGCCUGUUUAGGCAUCUGUUGUAGAAGAAAAUGCUUCUGUUUUUUUGUCGGUCGUCGGCAUCGGGUUAGUCAGUUGUCCAAUUUGUAAUAUCGCCCGUGGAUGUUGAAGAAUACUCGACCACCCGUGUUGACUUUCAACUCUCAUUAAUAAAGAUGAAGCCCCGCGAGAUCGUUCAUGAGGCGAGACAAACCCGCUGACAUCCCCACCCCCACGUCCUACACGCUUGCAGCCCACCGCCUUGGCUGCUAGCCACAAGUUGGGCAUGCAGCCGUGCACUAGGGGAGCGCCCGCGUAGGAGACAACGAUGCCGCCGCUGACAUGGCCAAUGUGGAUGUGCCCCGAGUAGGUCCAAGGCUAGCGAGGUAGUGCUCAGAGCCAACACCUGCUCGAGCCCCCUGAUGCGGACUACCUUGACAGAGCACAUGGUUGGCUUGUCGUCGAUGCAUCGUGACCCGGUGAACUCUUGAAUCCCACACUAGGAAUCCAUCAGUGGCUAAUGUUCCAUGGAAGGUAAAAAUCCAUCUUUGGCGUAUUUUGUUUUCAGAGUAUUGAUGUUGGGGAUGAGCCUAAGAGGAGAAAGAUUAAUGAUAUGGUAGAAAGUUCCUUUCUCACCAGUUUUUCCAGACUGAGAACAAGAGAUAGAGGGCUGACCGGGGGCGAUGACAGCUGGUGUCGUGGCCAAGUGUUGACAAGGCAACUGACGAUCAUUGCCGAGCACUGGGGAGGUUGCCGGUGCCAUGGUCGAGUGCUUGGGGGAUGGCCAUGGUGGACGAGGGAGAGCAACCAGUACGGGGAGAGACAUAGAGAUGUGAUUCUUUCGUUACGUCCAUGGCAAGGUUCCAUGAGAUGGCACCAAAUUUUUGGGAGGAUAUAUACACUGAUUGUGGCUGAGAAGAAGAUUACUGCUCCUGCGAUUUUGUAUGUUGCGUGAGAGAGGAGAAAUGGGGCAAUUUGUUUGAUAUGAUUUAUGAGCGGAUGCUUUACUUUUGUACAGGGAUACGCUUCAUGUCCGGCUGAUAUAUGGUGUUCUAUGCUCUACUGUGUGCUCUGCUUGUGGAAAUUUGUACAUGGCAAUACAUACAUCGAAAUUGAGAUUUGGAGCAA